UACGAAGGGUGCAAGCGUUACUCGGAAUUACUGGGCGUAAAGCGUGCGUAGGUGGUUCGUUAAGUCUGUCGUGAAAGCCCCGGGCUCAACCUGGGAAUGGCGAUGGAUACUGGCGGGCUAGAGUGCGGUAGAGGAGAGUGGAAUUCCCGGUGUAGCGGUGAAAUGCGCAGAUAUCGGGAAGAACACCCGUGGCGAAGGCGGCUCUCUGGGACGGUACUGACGCUGAGACGCGAAAGCGUGGGGAGCGAACAGG
RNAcentral lists this ribosomal RNA (253 nucleotides) under uncultured bacterium. RNAcentral's name for it is "partial 16S ribosomal RNA". It matches the Rfam family "Bacterial small subunit ribosomal RNA", at positions 524 to 776 of the family's 1533-position model. The record is from RNAcentral.